GAAUGCUGACAUAAGUAACGAUAAAGCGGGUGAAAAGCCCGCUCGCCGGAAGACCAAGGGUUCCUGUCCAACGUUAAUCGGGGCAGGGUGAGUCGACCCCUAAGGCGAGGCCGAAAGGCGUAGUCGAUGGGAAACGGGUUAAUAUUCCCGUACUUGGUGUUACUGCGAAGGGGGGACGGAGAAGGCUAUGUUGGCCGGGCGACGGUUGUCCCGGUUUAAGCGUGUAGGUGUGUGUUCCAGGUAAAUCCGGUUCACUUUAACACUGAGGCGUGACGACGAGGCACUACGGUGCUGAAGCAACAAAUGCCCUGCUUCCAGGAAAAGCCUCUAAGCAUCAGGUAACAUCAAAUCGUACCCCAAACCGACACAGGUGGUCAGGUAGAGAAUACCAAGGCGCUUGAGAGAACUCGGGUGAAGGAACUAGGCAAAAUGGUGCCGUAACUUCGGGAGAAGGCACGCUGACACGUAGGUGAAGUGAUUUACUCAUGGAGCUGAAGUCAGUCGAAGAUACCAGCUGGCUGCAACUGUUUAUUAAAAACACAGCACUGUGCAAACACGAAAGUGGACGUAUACGGUGUGACGCCUGCCCGGUGCCGGAAGGUUAAUUGAUGGGGUCAGCGCAAGCGAAGCUCCUGAUCGAAGCCCCGGUAAACGGCGGCCGUAACUAUAACGGUCCUAAGGUAGCGAAAUUCCUUGUCGGGUAAGUUCCGACCUGCACGAAUGGCGUAAUGAUGGCCAGGCUGUCUCCACCCGAGACUCAGUGAAAUUGAACUCGCUGUGAAGAUGCAGUGUACCCGCGGCAAGACGGAAAGACCCCGUGAACCUUUACUAUAGCUUGACACUGAACAUUGAGCCUUGAUGUGUAGGAUAGGUGGGAGGCUUUGAAGUGUGGACGCCAGUCUGCAUGGAGCCGACCUUGAAAUACCACCCUUUAAUGUUUGAUGUUCUAACGUGGACCCGUUACCCGGGUUGCGGACAGUGUCUGGUGGGUAGUUUGACUGGGGCGGUCUCCUCCUAAAGAGUAACGGAGGAGCACGAAGGUUGGCUAAUCCUGGUCGGACAUCAGGAGGUUAGUGCAAUGGCAUAAGCCAGCUUGACUGCGAGCGUGACGGCGCGAGCAGGUGCGAAAGCAGGUCAUAGUGAUCCGGUGGUUCUGAAUGGAAGGGCCAUCGCUCAACGGAUAAAAGGUACUCCGGGGAUAACAGGCUGAUACCGCCCAAGAGUUCAUAUCGACGGCGGUGUUUGGCACCUCGAUGUCGGCUCAUCACAUCCUGGGGCUGAAGUAGGUCCCAAGGGUAUGGCUGUUCGCCAUUUAAAGUGGUACGCGAGCUGGGUUUAGAACGUCGUGAGACAGUUCGGUCCCUAUCUGCCGUGGGCGCUGGAGAACUGAGGGGGGCUGCUCCUAGUACGAGAGGACCGGAGUGGACGCAUCACUGGUGUUCGGGUUGUCAUGCCAAUGGCACUGCCCGGUAGCUAAAUGCGGAAGAGAUAAGUGCUGAAAGCAUCUAAGCACGAAACUUGCCCCGAGAUGAGUUCUCCCUGAGACUUAAAGUCUCC
Molecule: ribosomal RNA, 1557 nt
Filed under: Salmonella enterica
Lineage: Bacteria; Pseudomonadati; Pseudomonadota; Gammaproteobacteria; Enterobacterales; Enterobacteriaceae
Also listed under: 1 other name
Description: partial 23S ribosomal RNA
Rfam family: Bacterial large subunit ribosomal RNA
Source: RNAcentral